Molecule: ribosomal RNA, 254 nt
Filed under: uncultured bacterium
Lineage: Bacteria
Description: partial 16S ribosomal RNA
Rfam family: Bacterial small subunit ribosomal RNA
Source: RNAcentral
UACGAAGGGGGCUAGCGUUGUUCGGAAUUACUGGGCGUAAAGCGUGCGCAGGCGGCUUCUCAAGUCAGGGGUGAAAGCCCAGAGCUUAACUCUGGAAUUGCCUUUGAGACUGAGAGGCUUGAGUACGGGAGAGGUGAGUGGAAUUCCCAGUGUAGAGGUGAAAUUCGUAGAUAUUGGGAAGAACACCGGUGGCGAAGGCGGCUCACUGGCCCGUAACUGACGCUCAUGCACGACAGCGUGGGGGAUCAAACAGG